Molecule: ribosomal RNA, 467 nt
Filed under: Flavobacterium sp. sec4
Lineage: Bacteria; Pseudomonadati; Bacteroidota; Flavobacteriia; Flavobacteriales; Flavobacteriaceae
Description: bacterial SSU rRNA
Rfam family: Bacterial small subunit ribosomal RNA
Source: RNAcentral
GCAGGAUGACGGUCCUAUGGAUUGUAAACUGCUUUUGUACGAGAAGAAACACUGCUUCGUGAAGCAGCUUGACGGUAUCGUAAGAAUAAGGAUCGGCUAACUCCGUGCCAGCAGCCGCGGUAAUACGGMGGAUCCAAKCGUUAUCCGGAAUCAUUGGGUUUAAAGGGUCCGUACGGCGGUUUWGUAAGUCAGUGGUGAAAGCCCAUCGCUCAACGGUGGAACGGCCAUUGAUACUGCUGAACUUGAAUUAUUAGGAAGUAACUAGAAUAUGUAGUGUAGCGGUGAAAUGCUUAGAGAUUACAUGGAAUACCAAUUGCGAAGGCAGGUUACUACUAAUUGAUUGACGCUGAUGGACGAAAGCGUGGGGAGCGAACAGGAUUAGAUACCCUGGUAGUCCACGCCGUAAACGAUGGAUACUAGCUGUUGGGCGCAAGUUCAGUGGCUAAGCGAAAGUGAUAAGAUCCCAC